This is an unclassified non-coding RNA of Oncorhynchus mykiss (rainbow trout), 293 nucleotides long. It matches the Rfam family "Metazoan signal recognition particle RNA". From Rfam's summary of the family: The signal recognition particle (SRP) is a universally conserved ribonucleoprotein. The record is from Ensembl. NCBI's taxonomy places the organism in Eukaryota, Metazoa, Chordata, Actinopteri, Salmoniformes, Salmonidae.
ACCGGGUGCGUUGGCAUGUGCCUGUAAUCCAAGUCACUGGGAGGCUGAGGUUGGUGGAUCAAGUGAGCUGAGGAGCUCUGGGCUGCAGCACGCUAUGUCGAACGGGUGUCCACGCCAAGUUCGGUAUAGAUAUGGUGUUCCUGGUGGGGACCACCAGGUUGUCUAAGGAGGGGUGAACCGGCCCAGGUCGGAAACGAAGCAGGUCAAAUUCCCCGUGCUGUCCAGUAGUGGGAUAAUACCUGUGAGUAGAUGCUGCAGUGCAGCCUUGGCAAAACAUUGAGACCUAGUCUUUU